RNAcentral lists this ribosomal RNA (544 nucleotides) under Paraxerus alexandri (Alexander's bush squirrel). Its description in RNAcentral is "partial 16S ribosomal RNA". It matches the Rfam family "Bacterial large subunit ribosomal RNA", at positions 1820 to 2595 of the family's 2925-position model. Lineage: Eukaryota; Metazoa; Chordata; Mammalia; Rodentia; Sciuridae. The record is from RNAcentral.
CUCUAGCAUGAACAGUAUUAGAGGCCCUGCCUGCCCAGUGACAUAAGCUUAAACGGCCGCGGUAUCCUGACCGUGCAAAGGUAGCAUAAUCACUUGUUCCUUAAAUAGGGACUAGUAUGAACGGCUUAACGAGGGUUUAACUGUCUCUUACUUUCAAUCAGUGAAAUUGACCUCCCCGUGAAGAGGCGGGGCUGAACAAAUAAGACGAGAAGACCCUAUGGAGCUUAAAUUUAUUAGUCUGCCCUGUAAGCAUAACAAAUCUACGGACACAUCAUUUAUACCACCAGACUAAGAAUUUCGGUUGGGGUGACCUCGGAGCAUAAAUCAACCUCCGAAUGAUACUAACCUAGACACACACGUCUAAGUCAAAAUUCAUAAAUUGACCCAAAUUAUUUGAUCAAUGGAACAAGUUACCCUAGGGAUAACAGCGCAAUCCUACUUAAGAGUCCAUAUCGACAGUUAGGGUUUACGACCUCGAUGUUGGAUCAGGACACCCAAAUGGUGCAGCCGCUAUUAAUGGUUCGUUUGUUCAACGAUUAAAGUC